RNAcentral lists this transfer RNA (76 nucleotides) under Caudoviricetes sp. RNAcentral describes it as "tRNA-Thr". It matches the Rfam family "tRNA". From Rfam's summary of the family: Transfer RNA (tRNA) molecules are approximately 80 nucleotides in length. Their secondary structure includes four short double-helical elements and three loops (D, anti-codon, and T loops). The record is from RNAcentral. Lineage: Duplodnaviria; Heunggongvirae; Uroviricota; Caudoviricetes.
GGCCGAUUAGUUUAAAUGGUAAAACGGCGGAUUUGUACCCCGCAGAUGUCGAGUUCGAGUCUCGCAUUGGCCUCCA